RNAcentral lists this small RNA (126 nucleotides) under Marmota monax (woodchuck). Lineage: Eukaryota; Metazoa; Chordata; Mammalia; Rodentia; Sciuridae. The record is from RNAcentral.
GCCGGGUGUGGUGGUGCACGCCUGUAAUCCCAGCAGCUCAGGAGGCUGAGGCUGGAGGAUCGCAAGCUCACAGCCGGUCUCAGCAACUGGGUGAGGCCUGAGCAACUUAGUGGGACCCUGUCUCAA